UACAGAGGGGGCAAGCGUUGUUCGGAAUUACUGGGCGUAAAGGGCGCGUAGGCGGCCUUCUAAGUCGAACGUGAAAUCCCCGGGCUCAACCCGGGAACUGCGUCCGAUACUGGAAGGCUUGAAUUCGGGAGAGGGAUGCGGAAUUCCAGGUGUAGCGGUGAAAUGCGUAGAUAUCUGGAGGAACACCGGUGGCGAAGGCGGCAUCCUGGACCGAGAUUGACGCUGAGGCGCGAAAGCCAGGGGAGCAAACGGG
RNAcentral lists this ribosomal RNA (253 nucleotides) under uncultured bacterium. RNAcentral's name for it is "partial 16S ribosomal RNA". It matches the Rfam family "Bacterial small subunit ribosomal RNA", at positions 524 to 776 of the family's 1533-position model. The record is from RNAcentral.